AACAUUUAAAAGUGUGUGUGUUGAAAUGCGGUCGACCAUUAUUAUAUGAUGAGGCCCAAUGAAUGGCACAUUAGUUUGUAUCAUAGGCACAAGAAAGUAAAAUCGAACCAAAAAAAAAAAAAAGGGAAAGUUAAGAAUCCAUUUUCCUAUAUAAACGUUCACUCUUAACUCGUUAGUCUCAUCCCUGAAACUCUAGUUCUCUUUCUCUUUCUCUUAUGCUUUGCUCCUCCUACAAUUUAAUCUAUCAUAUACGUAUUUACGGAAGAAACAGGCAGCCAUGAAGAAAGUUCUUCUGUUUCUAAGUGCUCUUGUCUUCUUUGCCCUAGCCCCAGAAGCAACGAACGGUGCGUUGCAUGGAAAGACGCAAGCAUUAAUCAACCGAGCUAACAAAUUUGGACCUUAUUUAGGAUUGGUAAUUCCAAAUCUAUUCGAAAUGAAUCCACUACUCCAACAUCCAAGUUUCGUUCCUAGUGAGCUCGUUAUAGAUUUUGCAGGUAAGAGAUUUCGAUUUGGAACAAUUGAGAAAAAGCCAGUUAUAUUGGUGAUGACGGGACUCGGAAUGCUAAAUGCAGGUGUAACUACGCAGCUUUUGCUGAGCUUGUUCGAAAUAGAGGGUGUUGUGCAUUAUGGAAUUGCUGGGAAUGCAAACCCUUCUCUUCAUAUUGGAGAUGUAACUAUUCCUCAGUAUUGGUCUCACUCUGCUCUGUGGAAUUGGCAGAGAUAUGGAGACGGGCCUAGCAACGAACUCCCACUUGAAGAGAAUGGAGACUACACAAGGGAUAUUGGGUACAUAAGAUUUGCAGAUUAUACAACCAGUAAUGUAACAAGCUGCAGCAGCCCGUUUGAUAAUCUUCUAAAUAACGUUUGGUACCAGCCUGAGGAAGUUUUUCCAAUAGAUGGAGAUCCUGAAGAAAGACAACAUGCAUUUUGGGUCCCCGUCGAUUCCCAUUACUUCAAGAUCUCAAGAUUGCUUGAGGGCUUGGAAUUAGAAGGUUGUGUGAAUUCAACAACAUGUUUGGACACAACCCCAAAGGUGACAAGGGUUGAAAGAGAGAACAAGUGCCAGCAUUUACUUAGACAAUGCAGCUUAUAGGAGCUUCAUAUACAACAAGUUUAAUGUGAGCCCUGUGGAGAUGGAAAGUGCCUGCAGUGGCUCUCGUUUGCCAUCAGCAAAGGGUUCCUUUCAUUGUCAUUAGGGCACUUUCCGACUUGGCCGGCGGUGGCACCGCUGAAUCCAAUGAGGCUGCUACUUUCACUGCUCUUGCAGCUGAUAAUUCUGUCAAAGUUGUGGUGGAAUUCAUCAAGAUUUUACUGUCUUUUCCAUGGCUCCUUCGAGAAGUCAGAAGCUGAAAGAUCAUCAGGUAUGACAAAUGCUUGAAUAAGUUCAUGUGAGCAAAGGAGAAUGAUUGUUCCGCAGAACAUGCAGGCUGGCUUAAUCUUAUCCCUUUUCUUCUGUCUCUUUCUACGAGUGGAAUAAAUUGUAGUUUGGAUCAUCAAAACGUCAUGUUUUUGUACUGAUCCAAUUCGAGUAUAUUAUAUAUCAGAUCUUUGUUGUUCUUUUUCUGCAUUUUUCUCCAAAAUCCACCUUGAGAUGGUGAAGGGUUCUGGUAGACUCACGCCAGUUUUUAGGAAACAAAUUAUGUAUUGUGGGCAUAAAAUUUUUAUCUCCAAGAUUUUGUCAA
Molecule: non-coding RNA, 1682 nt
Organism: Coffea arabica (coffee)
Lineage: Eukaryota; Viridiplantae; Streptophyta; Magnoliopsida; Gentianales; Rubiaceae
Source: RefSeq, a predicted model, not a curated record